UCCCUGGUGGCUGAGACAGUAAAGAAUCUGCCUGCAAUACAGGAGACCUGGGUUCAAUCCCUGGAUAGGGAG
RNAcentral lists this transfer RNA (72 nucleotides) under Bos taurus (domestic cattle). It matches the Rfam family "tRNA". From Rfam's summary of the family: Transfer RNA (tRNA) molecules are approximately 80 nucleotides in length. RNAcentral also lists the same sequence under 4 other names. The record is from Rfam by way of RNAcentral. Lineage: Eukaryota; Metazoa; Chordata; Mammalia; Artiodactyla; Bovidae.